AAUCAACGCUGGCGGCGUGCCUAACACAUGCAAGUCGAACGCGAAAGUGGAGCAAUCCAUGAGUAGAGUGGCGAACGGGUGAGUAACACGUGGGUGACCUACCUUCGAAUGGGGGAUAACGUCCCGAAAGGGACGCUAAUACCGCAUAACAUCCUGCCUUUGAACAGGUGGAGAUCAAAGCCGGGGAUCGCAAGACCUGGCGUUUGAAGAGGGGCCCGCGUCUGAUUAGCUAGUUGGUGAGGUAACGGCUCACCAAGGCGACGAUCAGUAUCCGGCCUGAGAGGGCGGACGGACACACUGGGACUGAGACACGGCCCAGACUCCUACGGGAGGCAGCAGUGGGGAAUUGUUCGCAAUGGGCGCAAGCCUGACGACGCAACGCCGCGUGGAGGAU
This 394-nucleotide ribosomal RNA is filed under the name uncultured bacterium. RNAcentral describes it as "bacterial SSU rRNA". It matches the Rfam family "Bacterial small subunit ribosomal RNA", at positions 32 to 409 of the family's 1533-position model. The record is from RNAcentral.